CAGCAGUUAAUAUAAAGAUCAGGAAACAUAGCGAAGGGACAACAACUGCUGCAGCAAUAUGGAUUUUAAAUGGACCUUCAGCUUCAGCGUUCUCUGUAAAAUCAAAAAAGUGAGUCAUUUCACUGCAAUUCUAAUAGGUGGUUCACAUGUGGUCCACAUGUGGUCAUUUCCAUGCAAAAGCAGUUUCUUCUUUUUUAUUAUUAUUAUUACGUCUAUGUUUUCAGAAAGGAAGUCAGAACUGCUUACACCUGCUAAGUGGUCUCUGGAAAGACCUUGGGCCUCUCACAAAAUCCAAGUCCAAGUCUGAAAAGUCUGGAGCUUUGCUAUGUUUCCACUUCUUUGUGGUUUUAGUGAGAAAAGCAAUAAUGCUGACACACAAUCUAACCUUAAAGUCUCUACUGUUGUACGAUGCACAAUUAUGAAGGAAAUAUCAGUGCAGCCAAAGGUGCUCAGCCUGACUGUGUAUGGGUGAGUUUUCAACUUUCACUUGGAUCAGCGUUAAAGCAGUGCUCUCACCAGCCUCCUGUAAAAGCUCUGCUCUGUAAAGACUGCAGGUAAUCUGGUGUAAUCUUUAGAAAAAAAGGGGCAGUCACUCUUGUAUUUGAAAAAGAAGAUAAAAAAUAGGAUAAGCUCAAAAAGGCAAUUAUUGCCAACCUCUUCUUCUUACCAUGUCCCACCAUCACCACCCUCUGCCCCCGCCCCUACACUGUAUUCAGUCAUGAUGGGUGUGUAAGGUAUUGUUUUUGUCUGUUUGUUUUUGUUUGCUUCAAAACUUGAUAAACUCACCUGUAAUUAUGAGCUCCCAUUUCUGUUCGAAGACUCCUGAGUCUGUGGUCGUUUCACAAGUGUAGUUUCCUUCGUGAUGUUUCUGAGCUCUCUCUAUGAUUAGUGCAUACAGUUGGCUUUUUAAGGUGGACAUGCUUAGAUUCAGGAUGGCAGCUGCAUGAGACCUUAUUAUUCUGCUGUCUGACAUGUUCUGAUUACUGCUUAAAGUCACAGAGCUGUUGUUUGAGGUUUUCUGUGCCUUGAAACUAAACAGAAGAGUCCCAUUCCUUUUCCAUGUCAGUUGUUGGAGGUCGCUGAUUGAGUUAUUGCUACAGUGCAGGGUCACUGUGCUCCCAGCCAUCAAGGAAGUGCUGUUCCCUUCUUGAAAGACAAAAAAAAUCACAUUAUAGGCCUCAUUUACUUAUUAUUUCAAUUACAUAUAUAUACAUAUAUAUUACAUAUAUAUUAGUUAGCUCAGCUGAUGCUCCUACACAUUUUCAACUAUAACAUUAUUAUUAUUAUUCUCUGCAAGUCACUUUGCAGCCCACCUCUAUCCCAGCUCUGCUUUUUCAUCCUUUUUCUGACUUAAUCAAUAUUGAAUGCAUGUGAGAAAAGUAAAAGUUUCAAACGGUGAUUUUAUUUGUUGAGAAAAAAGCUAUCCAAACCUACCUGGCUGUAUGUAACAGAGUAAUUUUUAAGGCUUUGGGACUCAAGCAAAUCAUAGUGAGAGCUGAUAUCCACAAAUAAAUCUACAUUAACCUUCCGAAGAGUGGCCAGUGUACCAAAAUUACUCCAAGAGCACACUGACGACUCAAUGAGGAGGCUAAAAAAAAACAAAAAAAAACACAGGGUCUCUGAGGUGUGAAACCACAUCUAAAGAACUUCAGGCCUCACUUUCCUCAGUUAAGGGCAGUGUUUAUGAUUCAACAAUUAUAAAAAGACCAUUAAAAAAAGUUCCAAAGGUUCCAAGAAACAAAACCACGAAGGCUAAUCUCACACUUGGCAAAAAAAAUCCUGUUUAUCCCUGAGACUUUUGAGACUUCUGUGGGCUGAUGAGAAAAAAAAGUUGAUCUUUUUUAAAGGUUUGAGUCCCAAUACAUGCUGUAAACCUGACACAACAUUUCAUAAAAGGAUCAUACCAACAGUCAAACAUGGUGGUGGUAGUGUGACAGUUGUGGGACUGCUUUGCUGCUUUAGGACCUGAAUGACUUUCCAUAGUUAAUGGGGCUGUGAAUUCUGCUCUCUAAAAGAAAAUGCUCAGAGAGAAUGUCUGGCCAAGAACAAAUAUACUCGACAAAGAUGUGAAAGAUGCCUCACCAAUUUCUACAAAUGCUUGAUCGCAGUUCUUGGGUCUAGGGGGGAAUUACUUGUUCUUUGCAUACGGUCAGGUAGAUCUGGAUAGCUUUCUUUCCCUAAUAUAUAAAUCAUCAUUUAAAAACUGUAUUUUGUGACAAAUUUACAAAAAAUAAAAAAUAAAAAUAAGGAAGGGGGCAAAUACACAGCUUUGUAAAAAGGCGGGCAUGCUGCAGAAUAGAGCCAACAUCUCAAAAAACAAAGCACAGAAAUUAAAGUCAUAACCUUGUUUUGAUUAAUUCUUGAGAUUGAAUUUAAAAAAAUACAAGCAAAUAAAAAUCCAGAUAUAAAAAAUAACCUUCUUUUUCACUAUUCAGACAUUUUUUUCGUUGUAGCUUCCAGUACAAAAGCAAAAACUGGAAAAAAAAUUCUCAAGUUACUAAACUGUUCCACUAAGUUCUACUCAUUGUCAAAGUAACUGUAAAUGAAUUUUACCUGCUUGUAAAAACAUACACACGAUGCAACAUAUUAGAAAAAGGGUCCUGUUGAUUCCCCAAUAUCUUGAAAAGUCUUCCAUGCCAGCUUGAAAAAAAAGAUAAUUUAUUUGAACUGUAAAUGUCUGCGAUUAGUAUUUUAUUUGCACUGAGUAUCAAAAAGUAGUUAUUAAGGAAGUCCUGGGCAUAGAAGCAACAAUAAACAGGGUCACACAAAACACAAAAUAGUCUAAUUUCUAAAUACAUGAAGAAUGUUCAACCUCAUUUCAGCUGACAGUUUCUUUUUAUUUACAAGAAACUGGAGUGCAGUACCAAAACAGUCAACUUUAAGUACCCUAUGAUUGUAACAAAAUGCAAUAAAAUGCUCACAAGAACUAUAAAGUUCACAUCCUGUGCAAAACUAAAUGUGGUGCAGAUUAAAUAGGAAUAAUGUUUUCUUACCAUUGAGUCAUAUGCUGUUUAAUCCUUAUCUCUGCGCAACAACUUUACCAGCUUUAAUGUCACAUAAGGAAAAUUUGAUAUCUAAUAAUCAUCUUAAUUAUAGCGUACAGCUUCUUUGCAUGUAUGUCUGCACAGUGGACAUGCAUGCAUACUAUUAAGACCUUGCCUAGAUGCUUACACAAUGCCACAGAAAUGGUGUGCAAACAGGAAAUCGAUCAUGGUGUGUGGCCACGUGAGUGCCUUUUCUUCUUCUUUUGGUUGGCUGGUUCAGUCUUUGAAGUCGGAGACGAUUCUGUGAGAGUGCACCCUGACAUCUGUUCACAGUAAAGUAUUUUUUUCCCACCCUGUAUUGCACUGUUCUACUUUUACCAAUACCACAGCAACAGACCAUAGAUAACGUCGCAUAAAGUAGGUGAGAUUUACCAUGCCUUUUUUCCUGCAGUCCUGCAGUAUUGACACUUUGCCUCGUCUAAGCUUGUUAUAAAAAGUCAUCUCUCAAAAAGUAUGUGGGAUAUACAGUCACCUUAAAAAAGAAAGCACACCCUUUGUUACUUCUAAGGUUUUAUGUGCUAGGAUAUAAUAUAGAAAAAUAAAUCAGAUGCAAACUGAUCGCUGUUGCCCAUCAAUCAGAAAAGGGUUAUAAGGUCAUCAUUCCACAAUGGAAAAAAUUCAGGACAGUUGCCAGCUUUCAAAGUAGUGGAUUUUCUAAAACACACACGAGACUGUCAAGUGCUCAGAUAAACUGCAAAAACACCAACAGCUACAUCUACAGCAGAAUGGCUGAAAAAGAAAAGAACCAUUGUCAUGGUCCAGUCAUCAACCCAAAUGAAAUUAAUGCCACACAACCCGUCUAUGGGCCAGGUCAUAGUGUAGUGGGUUAGAUUUGGUAGAUGGUUUUUGCAUGGUGUCUUUGAAUGCAGCAUGAACAUUCACCCAUCCCUUGCUGUUAAUCAGAGCCGGGUUAUAAGGAGCAGCUAUAGCCUGCUCCUUGCAUUCGUUCCUGUUGAAGGUGGUGAAGAUCACAGGCUGUUUUUAAGUAUUGCAGAUUACAUUCAUUUCCCCUGUUUUAGUGUUAACUGUUUGUUAUAUUUUAAUCGUGCUUUUAAUAGCAGUUGUAUUUUAAAGGGUGUGUGUGUUAAUUUAUAAGUUUUAUAAGUUUUAUUUUUCUUUAGUGGAGAUACAGUUGCUUGUUGUGGGGACUAGCCAUCUGUGGUGGAAUUCCCCCGCCCUGGGAAACAAGUAUAACGCACCAUUUAAGUUGCAGUGAGGAUUGCAGAGAGACUACACUGGAGAAAACUAUGGGUUUAAGGAAUCGGAAGCUUACCUCUACCCACUCCCCUUCCUCACUACAGAGAACCUCAGCCAGCGACUGUCACAGGAGCAGCUGAUAAGGCUUUAGGUAAAGGAAGUGAAGCUCUGUCACUGGCAGCUCUCCAGGCCUAGGCCCUCUCAGGGGUGGUCUUCCAACAGCUGGAACCAGUCAUUCAGGAGCCGUACAUCCGCACACCACUCACAGCUGGGCACCUGUACAACUGAACUACCGUUACAUCCAGUGUUAACACAGUUGCCAAAACAGUGUGCUGUUCAGACAGAAACAAACGGUCUAGCACUGCAAACUUCAGUGAACUGAAGUAACCUUAUACAGAGGAUGGGGUGAAAUUCCUCCACAUUUUAAGAGACUGAUGGUCAUACAAGGAAACCACUGACAAGUGGUUCUACAAGCGGCAUAAUCAAAUGUACGUUUUUGUUCGUUUUCUAUAUGAUUGUUUUUAUAUUUUGGAUUUUUUUUUUUUUUUCUGUUAAAUCAGUAAUGAUACAGUAUAUAUGUCAUGUUUUGUUUAUCUGAGGUUGAACAUACCUCAUUUUGAAAACUUGGUAAGAAAC
This is a long non-coding RNA of Oreochromis aureus, 4877 nucleotides long. NCBI's taxonomy places the organism in Eukaryota, Metazoa, Chordata, Actinopteri, Cichliformes, Cichlidae. The record is from Ensembl.